GAGUUUGAUCCUGGCUCAGAGUGAACGCUGGCGGCAGGCCUAACACAUGCAAGUCGAACGGCAGCGCAGCAGUAGCAAUACUGUGGGCGGCGAGUGGCGGACGGGUGAGGAAUACAUCGGAAUCUACCUUGUCGUGGGGGAUAACGUAGGGAAACUUACGCUAAUACCGCAUACGACCUACGGGUGAAAGCGGCGGACCGCAAGGCGUCGCGCGAUUGGAUGAGCCGAUGUCCGAUUAGCUAGUUGGCGGGGUAAGAGCCCACCAAGGCGACGAUCGGUAGCUGGUCUGAGAGGAUGAUCAGCCACACUGGAACUGAGACACGGUCCAGACUCCUACGGGAGGCAGCAGUGGGGAAUAUUGGACAAUGGGCGCAAGCCUGAUCCAGCCAUGCCGCGUGUGUGAAGAAGGCCUCGGUUGUAAG
This 422-nucleotide ribosomal RNA is filed under the name uncultured Gammaproteobacteria bacterium. RNAcentral's name for it is "bacterial SSU rRNA". It matches the Rfam family "Bacterial small subunit ribosomal RNA", at positions 9 to 429 of the family's 1533-position model. Lineage: Bacteria; Pseudomonadati; Pseudomonadota; Gammaproteobacteria. The record is from RNAcentral.